CUCAACCUUUUUUAUGUUAGUUGUAUCUAUUCAUUUGGUUUAUCUGGAGAGGAUUUGUGCUGGACAAUCAAUAAUAAAGGGAUUAUGGUGAUGAUUUAAUCGGUUUGAUUCAGUAUUUUACUGUAUUGGGCUUUUUUCUAUUCUGUUGUCUAAAAUACAAUGCCGCACAAUAAUUACUUUAAAUGUGCCUGAAAAAAAACCUUCAACCUUGAUUGAGACAAAGGCGAUAAUUCAAAUGCAAUUCAAACUACAUCCAGUAUUUAAUAUUUUCAAAUGGUUACAAUAGCACAUGAUUUUGGUAUUUUUAUCUUUGGGACAAAUUUUGGAUUCAAUUGGGGAUUGUUUUUGGAGGUAUUCACUUCACAUUAUGUUCGAGAUGCUUACUUCCGCCCACUCUGAAGAGUCUCGGCGUCUGAUUGGUCCAAUUUUCAUUUAGGCGCUGCCUGAUUGGCCAGUGGAUGAUGUCUGCUCCUAACAGAGGGCUAAAUCACUAGUUAACUAUUUUCAUCUUGGAAGUUAUACAGCUCACGUAUCACACUUAAUAUUGAAUAUAUAUAAAAAGGGUUUUCCAAAAGGACCAUUUAUAAUCGAAAUACAAAACUUCACACACGAUUUUGAGCACAACAGAGCGCUCAGUGAGCAGCACUUCCGGGACCUGCAGCACCGGAUGGGGACAUCUAUCUUGGCCACAAACCAUCUUUGACAGUCUUCGGCAGCAUGGUUGAAUCAGGCGCAUCAACACAUGAUAUAGACAUCGUGCCCAAAAGAAGAGCGAGAUGUAAUCCUGAGGCUGAAGCCACCGAGUUUAUGUGAUCUGGAUGUGACAAGUCUUGUUUUAAGGCCCAGUGGAUCAAUGAUUGGAAAGACACCAACUGUUGAUGUUCUAUCUCAACAUUCUCCAGAUUCAUGUGAGCGAUAAACCGACUUCAUCCCUCCAACAGACACCAACUGUUGGGGUUCUAUCUCAACAUUCUCCAGAUUAAGAUGUGAGCGAUAAACCGACUUCAUCCCUCCAACAG
Long non-coding RNA from Nerophis ophidion (straightnose pipefish), 1019 nucleotides. RefSeq lists it as uncharacterized. The transcript has 4 exons. The record is from RefSeq and is a predicted model, not a curated record. NCBI's taxonomy places the organism in Eukaryota, Metazoa, Chordata, Actinopteri, Syngnathiformes, Syngnathidae.